Molecule: non-coding RNA, 101 nt
Organism: Tinamus guttatus (white-throated tinamou)
Lineage: Eukaryota; Metazoa; Chordata; Aves; Tinamiformes; Tinamidae
Source: RefSeq, a predicted model, not a curated record
UUUUAAUAUAUGCAUACUGCAUCUACAGUUACCUUUCUGGAAUGGACAGGUCUUUUGCACAACAGAAGUCACAGUGCUGGAUUACGAACUGCAAGGUUUUU